RNAcentral lists this ribosomal RNA (701 nucleotides) under uncultured bacterium. Its description in RNAcentral is "bacterial SSU rRNA". It matches the Rfam family "Bacterial small subunit ribosomal RNA", at positions 8 to 688 of the family's 1533-position model. The record is from RNAcentral.
AGAGUUUGAUCCUGGCUCAGAAUCAACGCUGGCGGCGUGCCUAACACAUGCAAGUCGAACGCGAAAGUCCCGCAAGGGAUAAGUAGAGUGGCAAACGGGUGAGUAACACGUGGGUGACCUGCCUUCGAGCGGGGGAUAACGUCCCGAAAGGGACGCUAAUACCGCAUGACAUCCUGCCUUUGAAGAGGUGGAGAUCAAAGCCGGGGACCGCAAGGCCUGGCGCUUAAAGAGGGGCCCGCGCCUGAUUAGCUAGUUAAUGAGGUAAUGGCUCACCAAGGCAACGAUCAGUAUCCGGCCUGAGAGGGCGGACGGACACACUGGGACUGAGACACGGCCCAGACUCCUACGGGAGGCAGCAGUGGGGAAUUGUUCGCAAUGGGCGCAAGCCUGACGACGCAACGCCGCGUGGAGGAUGAAGACCUUCGGGUCGUAAACUCCUUUCGAUCGAGACGAACAGCCAUCGGGUGAAUAAUCCGGAGGUUUGACGGUACCGAGAGAAGAGGCCCCGGCUAACUCCGUGCCAGCAGCCGCGGUAAUACGGGGGGGGCAAGCGUUGUUCGGAAUUACUGGGCGUAAAGGGCUCGUAGGUUGCCAACUAGGUCAGACGUGAAAUCCCUCNGCUUAACCGGGGAACUGCGUCUGAUACUGGAUGGCUUGAGUUCGGGAGAGGGAUGCGGAAUUCCAGGUGUAGCGGUGAAAUG